This is a small nuclear RNA of Pipistrellus kuhlii (Kuhl's pipistrelle), 110 nucleotides long. Lineage: Eukaryota; Metazoa; Chordata; Mammalia; Chiroptera; Vespertilionidae. The record is from RefSeq and is a predicted model, not a curated record.
GUGCUUGCUUAGGCAGCACAUACACUAAAAAAAUUAGAAUGAAUCAGAGAAGAUUAGCAUGGACCCUGAUCAAGGAUGACAUGCAAAUUUGUGAAACGUUCCUUAUAUAU